CCCAGACUCCAGGGUGCGCCGGCUGGGCCGGACCACGUCGGGACAGGCGGGGCCCAGCACUGCGUCGCCCUGAGCGGGGCGGGGCCUAGUGGGGAGUCCCUCCAAGGCUGGGGCAGGAACGGCUCCGGAGAAAAGUUUGCUGAGCUCCGAUAGCUUCUCUUUGAGUAGUCCAGUGUGUGAGAGGGACGCCUGGGUGGCUCACUCAGUUAAGUGACCGACUUCAGCUCAGAUCAUGAUCUCAC
Long non-coding RNA from Felis catus (domestic cat), 242 nucleotides. RefSeq lists it as uncharacterized. The record is from RefSeq and is a predicted model, not a curated record. NCBI's taxonomy places the organism in Eukaryota, Metazoa, Chordata, Mammalia, Carnivora, Felidae. The transcript has 3 exons.